UGGGGAAUAUUGCACAAUGGGGGAAACCCUGAUGCAGCGACGCCGCGUGAGCGAAGAAGUAUCUCGGUAUGUAAAGCUCUAUCAGCAGGGAAGAAAAUGACGGUACCUGACUAAGAAGCCCCGGCUAACUACGUGCCAGCAGCCGCGGUAAUACGUAGGGGGCAAGCGUUAUCCGGAUUUACUGGGUGUAAAGGGAGCGUAGACGGCAAUGCAAGUCUGAAGUGAAAGGACGGGGCUUAACCCCGGGACGGCUUUUGAAACUGCCCUGCUUGAUUUCAGGAGAGGUAAGCGGAAUUCCUAGUGUAGCGGUGAAAUGCGUAGAUAUUAGGAGGAACACCAGUGGCGAAGGCGGCUUACUGGACUGACAAUGACGCUGAGGCUCGAAAGCGUGGGGAGCAAACA
RNAcentral lists this ribosomal RNA (402 nucleotides) under uncultured Coprococcus sp. RNAcentral's name for it is "bacterial SSU rRNA". It matches the Rfam family "Bacterial small subunit ribosomal RNA", at positions 355 to 774 of the family's 1533-position model. Lineage: Bacteria; Bacillati; Bacillota; Clostridia; Lachnospirales; Lachnospiraceae. The record is from RNAcentral.